Molecule: ribosomal RNA, 468 nt
Filed under: uncultured bacterium
Lineage: Bacteria
Description: partial 16S ribosomal RNA
Rfam family: Bacterial small subunit ribosomal RNA
Source: RNAcentral
GACGAACGCUGGCGGCGUGCUUAACACAUGCAAGUCGAACGGAAAGGCCCUGCUUUUGUGGGGUGCUCGAGUGGCGAACGGGUGAGUAACACGUGAGUAACCUGCCCUUGACUUUGGGAUAACUUCAGGAAACUGGGGCUAAUACCGGAUAGGAGCUCCUGCUGCAUGGUGGGGGUUGGAAAGUUUCGGCGGUUGGGGAUGGACUCGCGGGUUAUCAGCUUGUUGGUGGGGUAGUGGCUUACCAAGGCUUUGACGGGUAGCCGGCCUGAGAGGGUGACCGGCGACAUUGGGCCUGAGAGACGGCCCAGACUCCUACGGGAGGCAGCAGGGGGGAAUAUUGCACAAUGGGCGGAAGCCUGAUGCAACAACGCCGCGUGCGGGAUGCCGGCCUUCGAGUUGUAAACCGCUUUCGCCUGUGACGAAGCGUGAGUGACGGUAAUGGGUAAAGAAGCAACGGCUAACUACGUG